UCCUGGCGACUAUAGCGGUUUGGAACCACCUGAAUCCAUCUCGAACUCAGAAGUGAAACGUACAUGCGCCAAUGAUAGUGUGAGGCUUCCUC
This 92-nucleotide ribosomal RNA is filed under the name Legionella longbeachae. Lineage: Bacteria; Pseudomonadati; Pseudomonadota; Gammaproteobacteria; Legionellales; Legionellaceae. The record is from RNAcentral.